GGAUGUAGCUCAAUGGUAGAGCACUUGCCUAGCAUGCAUGAGGCCCUGGGUUUGAUCCUGGGCACUG
This 67-nucleotide transfer RNA is filed under the name Marmota monax (woodchuck). RNAcentral describes it as "tRNA.Ala". The stretch from base 6 to 61 matches the Rfam family "tRNA", at positions 8 to 63 of the family's 71-position model. From Rfam's summary of the family: Transfer RNA (tRNA) molecules are approximately 80 nucleotides in length. Their secondary structure includes four short double-helical elements and three loops (D, anti-codon, and T loops). Further hydrogen bonds mediate the characteristic L-shaped molecular structure. tRNAs have two regions of fundamental functional importance: the anti-codon, which is responsible for specific mRNA codon recognition, and the 3' end, to which the tRNAs corresponding amino acid is attached (by aminoacyl-tRNA synthetases). tRNAs cope with the degeneracy of the genetic code in two manners: having more than one tRNA (with a specific anti-codon) for a particular amino acid; and 'wobble' base-pairing, i.e. permitting non-standard base-pairing at the 3rd anti-codon position. Lineage: Eukaryota; Metazoa; Chordata; Mammalia; Rodentia; Sciuridae. The record is from RNAcentral.